RNAcentral lists this ribosomal RNA (490 nucleotides) under uncultured bacterium. RNAcentral describes it as "partial 16S ribosomal RNA". It matches the Rfam family "Bacterial small subunit ribosomal RNA", at positions 30 to 507 of the family's 1533-position model. The record is from RNAcentral.
AUUGAACGCUGGCGGCAGGCCUAACACAUGCAAGUCGAACGGUAACAGGAAGCAGCUUGCUGCUUUGCUGACGAGUGGCGGACGGGUGAGUAAUGUCUGGGAAACUGCCUGAUGGAGGGGGAUAACUACUGGAAACGGUAGCUACUACCGCAUAACGUCGCAAGGCCAAAGAGGGGGACCUUAGGGCCUCUUGCCAUCGGAUGUGCCCAGAUGGGAUUAGCUAGUAGGUGGGGUAACGGCUCACCUAGGCGACGAUCCCUAGCUGGUCUGAGAGGAUGACCAGCCACCCUGGAACUGAGACACGGUCCAGACUCCUACGGGAGGCAGCAGUGGGGAAUAUUGCACAAUGGGCGCAAGCCUGAUGCAGCCAUGCCGCGUGUAUGAAGAAGGCCUUCGGGUUGUAAAGUACUUUCAGCGGGGAGGAAGGGAGUAAAGUUAAUACCUUUGCUCAUUGACGUUACCCGCAGAAGAAGCACCGGCUAACUCCGUG